GGGGAACAAGACAGCACCGGGUUUCACACUGGCAAGGCAGGAGGCUGUGUGCUGCCAGAACGACCAGCAGGGGGCGCAAAGGCCACGCCAGGCACCUGCUGGCCUCAGAGAAAACAGAAAGGGAACCAGGAAGCCCACUCCUGCUGUCCUUUCUCUGCAAGGAAAUGUGCCAGGGCACUGCAGCCCAGACAGUCGGCAGUAGAGGACCCAUGAAGGUCAUUAUCACUGCUUUUCCCUCCUCUUAUUGAAGCUCUUCCCUCUGCAGCCCUGGAAGCCUGAUCCUACCUACAGAUGUCAGCGAAAUCUCCCUCCCUCAGGGUCCCUGUCUAGUUUGUUUUUGACCCGGCCACAAAUACUAGGACAGAAAAAUAAUGGACGGCACAAAGUAUCUUUGUGCAAAGAAAGCAGCAAAGAGAAUUAAGAGAAUUGCAUCAUAUAAAGAGUGAAUUAAACCAUCUAAAGGAGCAAAAAUUCAUCAUCACAUGGACAAGAAAUUAAGACGUAACAUCCAUCUCACUAUUUGCAAAGUGGCUUAUUCCUACAGACAAUGCAGAUAUGUAAAAAGCAGCUGGAAACCUAGGAGCAGAAGCCCAGCAUAAAGAUCUCUGAAAGCCUGGAUGCGUGGAUUCCUCUCUUACUUCCCAAAACGGUGGGGUGGAAAUGUGAAUAUCAGCAUGAUGCACAGAUCUCUGCAGAUGUCCAGCGAACUGAAUUUCUAGACGCUAUAAUCUAUGUUCUUUCCCAACCCCCACUUCAGUUUACAUAUCGCAGGCCAUAGAUCCUGUUUGUUGAAAAGCGAUCAGCUAGAAAACAAGAGUGGUUAUAACCUGUGCUGCCCAGUGAUCAGGAAAAGAGAGCGGAUGAAACUUCCAUGACUUUCUGUUAGUCUGAUUAAUAUCCAUGCCAAAUGUAAGAUUAGUUAAAAGGCCUUAUUGCUUCCCACCAAAAUGUUCCUUCACUAGCUAUAUACUACACUGAAAUGUAAAGUUAUGGGUAUGUUUAACAGUUUAAUUUGUCAGUGGGCAUCCAACUCUUCUAUUUGUGUUUUUACUUUGAGCUUAAUUGGAGCAGACAAAUAGAGGUGACCUCUAACUGUUUUCUUCCUGAAGCCAUUUUCAGGGCAGAAGUGCUUUACCCACUUCAUUGAGAAACCACCUUUGCAUGCAGUACCCUGAGCUGUCUUCAGCACACCAAGCAUCCACAACAUGGGAAAUACCGUGCUUUAAAUGUUGCUUUAAUCACAGUGCUCAUGAGUAAGGGCAUGUCCUGUCUCUUAUCCAUGAAAACACUCCCACAAAAUGAAGUCACACCCAGUAUCUGUUAACGGAGAUACUGAGUGGGUGAAGAAGACUCAUUCCCUAAUGCAAUUCAGGUCACACAGGGUAAAAAAGAAAAAAAAAUCCUUUUCUGUUGAGGAUACAGAUGGAGAGAAAAUGGAAAAUGCCUUUCAGGAAGCACAAGCCUAGUUUUCUAAUUGUGUUUCAGUGAACACGCAGGUGAACUUACCUGUGUGGCUUGGUAUUGUGGUGGGUUUUCAGCUUCUUCUCCACCAAAUCCUUUGAAAAGCAGCAGUGGCAGAAACAAAUAACCCAAUUAAAAACAAUAAUAGCAACAAUAAAAAAAGAAAAGAUGAAGAAA
Molecule: long non-coding RNA, 1638 nt
Filed under: Homo sapiens (human)
Lineage: Eukaryota; Metazoa; Chordata; Mammalia; Primates; Hominidae
Description: long intergenic non-protein coding RNA 2372
Source: RNAcentral